This 303-nucleotide ribosomal RNA is filed under the name uncultured bacterium. RNAcentral's name for it is "partial 16S ribosomal RNA". It matches the Rfam family "Bacterial small subunit ribosomal RNA", at positions 507 to 807 of the family's 1533-position model. The record is from RNAcentral.
AGCAGUCGCCGCGGGAAUACGAAGGGGGCUAGCGUUGCUCGGAAUUACUGGGCGUAAAGGGCGCGUAGGCGGAUGUUUAAGUCAGAGGUGAAAGCCCAGGGCUCAACCUUGGAACUGCCUUUGAUACUGGACAUCUUGAGUGUGGGAGAGGUGAGUGGAACUCCGAGUGUAGAGGUGAAAUUCGUAGAUAUUCGGAAGAACACCAGUGGCGAAGGCGACUCACUGGCCCAUUACUGACGCUGAGGCGCGAAAGCGUGGGGAGCAAACAGGAUUAGAUACCCGGGUAGUCCCUGUCUCUUAUAC